This is a non-coding RNA of Phoenix dactylifera (date palm), 176 nucleotides long. Lineage: Eukaryota; Viridiplantae; Streptophyta; Magnoliopsida; Arecales; Arecaceae. The record is from RefSeq and is a predicted model, not a curated record.
GGGUUCGUGAUAUCUGUGACAGGGAUUUUUAAGCGAACCCAGGUGAUGAUAUAUGAUUAUGGGGAUUACGGGAUAGAGUGAUCAUGAUGUAAUUAGCUAGUAGAUAUGGACUUUCUUUUGACUUAUGUAUAUAUGGACAUUUGAAUUGAAAGUUGGAAUUUAUCUUUGUUUAGCUA